GACGUGAGGGGCGAGCGUUACUCGGAAUUACUGGGCGUAAAGGACACGCAGGUGGCUGUGUAAGUCAAGUGUUAAAGACUGAGGCUUAACCUCAGGAAUGCGCUUGAUACUGCAUAGCUUGGUGCUAGGGGAGGGAGAUGGAAUGCCCGGUGUAAGGGUAAAAUCUGUAGAUAUCGGGUAGAACGCCAAAGGCGAAGGCAGUCUUCUAUCCUAGUCACGACACUCAGGUGUGAAAGCUGGGGGAGCAAACAGG
This 253-nucleotide ribosomal RNA is filed under the name uncultured bacterium. RNAcentral describes it as "partial 16S ribosomal RNA". It matches the Rfam family "Bacterial small subunit ribosomal RNA", at positions 524 to 776 of the family's 1533-position model. The record is from RNAcentral.